ACGCUAGCUACAGGCUUAACACAUGCAAGUCGAGGGGCAGCAUGGAAGAAGCUUGCUUCUUCUGAUGGCGACCGGCGCACGGGUGCGUAACGCGUAUCAAACCUGCCUCAUACUCGGGGAUAGCCUUGCGAAAGUAAGAUUAAUACCCGAUGUUGUUAUGUUGCCGCAUGGUGAUAUAACCAAAGAUUUAUCGGUAUGAGAUGGUGAUGCGUCCGAUUAGGUAGUAGGCGGGGUAACGGCCCACCUAGCCUUCGAUCGGUAGGGGUUCUGAGAGGAAGGUCCCCCACACUGGAACUGAGACACGGUCCAGACUCCUACGGGAGGCAGCAGUGAGGAAUAUUGGUCAAUGGACGGAAGUCUGAACCAGCCAAGUAGCGUGCAGGAUGACGGCCCUCCGGGUUGUAAACUGCUUUUAGUUGGGAAUAAAAAAGAGGACGUGUCCUCUAUUGUAUGUACCUUCAGAAAAAGGACCGGCUAAUUCCGUGCCAGCAGCCGCGGUAAUACGGAAGGUCCAGGCGUUAUCCGGAUUUAUUGGGUUUAAAGGGAGCGUAGGCGGAUUAUUAAGUCAGUGGUGAAAGACGGUGGCUCAACCAUCGUUAGCCAUUGAAACUGGUAGUCUUGAGUGCAGACAGGGAUGCUGGAACUCGUGGUGUAGCGGUGAAAUGCUUAGAUAUCACGAUGAACUCCGAUCGCGAAGGCAGGUGUCCGGGCUGCAACUGACGCCGAGGCUCGAAAGUGUGGGUAUCAAACAGGAUUAGAUACCCUGGUAGUCCACACAGUAAACGAUGUAUACUCGCGGUUUGCGAUACAAUGUAAGCCGCCAAGCGAAAGCAUUAAGUAUACCACCUGGGGAGUACGCCGGCAACGGUGAAACUCAAAGGAAUUGACGGGGGCCCGCACAAGCGGAGGAACAUGUGGUUU
RNAcentral lists this ribosomal RNA (921 nucleotides) under uncultured bacterium. RNAcentral's name for it is "bacterial SSU rRNA". It matches the Rfam family "Bacterial small subunit ribosomal RNA", at positions 33 to 947 of the family's 1533-position model. The record is from RNAcentral.